CCCAGACUCCUACGGGAGGCAGCAGUGGGGAAUAUUGGGCAAUGGGCGCAAGCCUGACCCAGCAACGCCGCGUGAAGGAAGAAGGCUUUCGGGUUGUAAACUUCUUUUGACAGGGAAGAGCAGAAGACGGUACCUGUCGAAUAAGCCACGGCUAACUACGUGCCAGCAGCCGCGGUAAUACGUAGGUGGCAGGCGUUGUCCGGAUUUACUGGGUGUAAAGGGCGUGUAGCCGGGCUGACAAGUCAGAUGUGAAAUCCGGGGGCUCAACCCCCGAACUGCAUUUGAAACUGUUGAUCUUGAGUACUGGAGAGGCAGACGGAAUUCCUAGUGUAGCGGUGAAAUGCGUAGAUAUUAGGAGGAACACCAGUGGCGAAGGCGGUCUGCUGGACAGCAACUGACGGUGAGGCGCGAAAGCGUGGGGAGCAAACAGGAUUAGAUACCCGUGUAU
RNAcentral lists this ribosomal RNA (448 nucleotides) under uncultured bacterium. RNAcentral's name for it is "bacterial SSU rRNA". It matches the Rfam family "Bacterial small subunit ribosomal RNA", at positions 330 to 793 of the family's 1533-position model. The record is from RNAcentral.